GAUGAACGCUGGCGGCGUGCCUAAUACAUGCAAGUCGAGCGAACGGACGAGAAGCUUGCUUCUCUGAUGUUAGCGGCGGACGGGUGAGUAACACGUGGAUAACCUACCUAUAAGACUGGGGUAACUUCGGGAAACCGGAGCUAAUACCGGAUAAUAUUUUGAACCGCAUGGUUCAAAAGUGAAAGACGGUCUUGCUGUCACUUAUAGAUGGAUCCGCGCUGCAUUAGCUAGUUGGUAAGGUAACGGCUUACCAAGGCAACGAUGCAUAGCCGACCUGAGAGGGUGAUCGGCCACACUGGAACUGAGACACGGUCCAGACACCUACGGGAGGCAGCAGUAGGGAAUCUUCCGCAAAGGGCGAAAGCCUGACGGAGCAACGCCGCGUGAGUGAUGAAGGUCUUCGGAUCGUAAAACUCUGUUAUUAGGGAAGAACAUAUGUGUAAGUAACUGUGCACAUCUUGACGGUACCUAAUCAGAAAGCCACGGCUAACUACGUG
This 497-nucleotide ribosomal RNA is filed under the name uncultured bacterium. Its description in RNAcentral is "partial 16S ribosomal RNA". It matches the Rfam family "Bacterial small subunit ribosomal RNA", at positions 28 to 507 of the family's 1533-position model. The record is from RNAcentral.